AAAAUGAAUCAAAACUUUCAACAACGGAUCUCUUGGCUCUGGCAUCGAUGAAGAACGCAGCGAAAUGCGAUAAGUAAUGUGAAUUGCAGAAUUCAGUGAAUCAUCGAAUCUUUGAACGCACAUUGCGCCCGCCAGUAUUCUGGCGGGCAUGCCUGUUCGAGCGUCAUUUCAACCCUC
This 177-nucleotide ribosomal RNA is filed under the name Tolypocladium ophioglossoides. RNAcentral's name for it is "5.8S ribosomal RNA". The stretch from base 13 to 166 matches the Rfam family "5.8S ribosomal RNA". Rfam says of the family: 5.8S ribosomal RNA (5.8S rRNA) is a component of the large subunit of the eukaryotic ribosome. It is transcribed by RNA polymerase I as part of the 45S precursor that also contains 18S and 28S rRNA. The record is from RNAcentral. Lineage: Eukaryota; Fungi; Ascomycota; Sordariomycetes; Hypocreales; Ophiocordycipitaceae.